Pimephales promelas (fathead minnow) is the source of this 957-nucleotide long non-coding RNA. RefSeq lists it as uncharacterized. The record is from RefSeq and is a predicted model, not a curated record. NCBI's taxonomy places the organism in Eukaryota, Metazoa, Chordata, Actinopteri, Cypriniformes, Leuciscidae.
UCCAGCUGCUGCACGGACGCGGACGCGCUUCAUCAACAGUUACACGAGCUUCAUCUGCUCAAUCCUCCACAGGGCUUCUUCUUCUUCUGACAGAGACCGUGUUUCAGCAGAGCUUCUUCUCCAAACACACUUUAUCCAGCGUCGACUGGCUCGUGCUGUGAUUUGCUGCAGAGGAGUUUCCCUGAGAAGAAGAGAAUCGGCGGGCAGCGCUGUGGCUUUCCAAGUAAAGUUCUGUGAUGCACUCCGGCUCUUAAUUGUUUGCAGUCAGUGCAUUACAGAACUUUGUUUUGGGAGUUUAAAGCUCAGGCCUGGAGGAAACAAUCAGUCCAUCUGGAUGAAGCUGUUACAGCGUUAAACUGCACAGCCUGUGUCCUUCAAAAGACACGCACAAAUACACAUCAUCAUUACAACAUGCUCAUUUAUUUCCAACUGCUAAUGAACAUCCUCUGAGUGUGGGAAUCACAGAUGCGUUGAUGUUUCGUUAUAGUUGUGUUGUGUGUUAUUUACAUGAUCUUUUCCCAGAAUGUUUUCUCCAAGUGUUCAACUAGCAUAGCGGAGGCUAUACCGCAAUUGCUAAAUAUCUAAAAAUAACCGUUGCACAGUAACACGCCACUUUCCAAUUAAACAUUCCAUUCCAUAACCUCAGGAAACACAAAAAAUGUGGCUUUUUCCAUUGUUGUAAAGGCAGUGUAUAUCCCAUAUUUACAAGGCGGUGCAGAGAAAAGCACUUUAAAUGGAGAAGCUUAGAGGUUUGUGAUGACAUCAUCAGGCGAGCGCAUGUCUCACGGUCACGUGACUCUUAUGAGGGUCAUCUGCUCUUAAGACGGAGAACUUUUUAUGGGCACUGACUAAACAGAUUUCCAAGUGUAAAAACUGUUCCAUUUGUCUGAAAUACUAGUGUACAAUAUGCGAAGUAUGCAUCUGGGAAAUAAAUGUGAGAGGUUUUGCUGAAGUGUA